This is a long non-coding RNA of Myotis brandtii (Brandt's bat), 207 nucleotides long. RefSeq lists it as uncharacterized. The record is from RefSeq and is a predicted model, not a curated record. Lineage: Eukaryota; Metazoa; Chordata; Mammalia; Chiroptera; Vespertilionidae. The transcript has 3 exons.
GGAGGAUGAUCUGGAGGUACAGAGAGUUUUGGAGGAGAUAGUGGUUCUGCAGGAGGCUGCCCAGAAAUACAAAAUAGAGCCUGAGGAGCAAUUCCGGGCCUGGUUCUGGGCCCUGAAACGGCUCAGUGAAAAUGAGAGUUACAUCUGGUCCUGCCAGCUGGAGCCACAGUCCUAGGUGGCCAGGGGACUCACCAAAGGAAGUCAAUU